This 494-nucleotide ribosomal RNA is filed under the name uncultured bacterium. RNAcentral's name for it is "bacterial SSU rRNA". It matches the Rfam family "Bacterial small subunit ribosomal RNA", at positions 791 to 1289 of the family's 1533-position model. The record is from RNAcentral.
UAGUCCACGCUGUAAACGAUGAUCACUCGCUGUUGGCGAUAUACAGUCAGCGGCUAAGCGAAAGCGUUAAGUUAUCCACCUGGGGAGUACGUUCGCAAGAAUGAAACUCAAAGGAAUUGACGGGGGCCCGCACAAGCGGUGGAGCAUGUGGUUUAAUUCGAUGAUACGCGAGGAACCUUACCAGGGCUUAAAUGUAGAGUGACCUUUCUGGAAACAGAGAUUCUCUUCGGAGCAAUUUACAAGGUGCUGCAUGGUUGUCGUCAGCUCGUGCCGUGAGGUGUUAGGUUAAGUCCUGCAACGAGCGCAACCCCUAUCUUUAGUUGCCAGCGAGUAAUGUCGGGGACUCUAAAGAGACUGCCAGCGCAAGCUGUGAGGAAGGUGGGGAUGACGUCAAAUCAUCACGGCCCUUACGUCCUGGGCUACACACGUGCUACAAUGGUAGAGACAGAGGGCAGCCACCUGGUGACAGGGAGCGAAUCCUUAAACUCUAUCUC